RNAcentral lists this ribosomal RNA (440 nucleotides) under uncultured bacterium. Its description in RNAcentral is "partial 16S ribosomal RNA". It matches the Rfam family "Bacterial small subunit ribosomal RNA", at positions 338 to 795 of the family's 1533-position model. The record is from RNAcentral.
CCUACGGGAGGCAGCAGUGGGGGAUAUUGCACAAUGGGGGAAACCCUGAUGCAGCGACGCCGCGUGGGUGAAGAAGCGCCUCGGCGCGUAAAGCCCUGUCAGCAGGGAAGAAAAUGACGGUACCUGAAGAAGAAGCCCCGGCUAACUACGUGCCAGCAGCCGCGGUAAUACGUAGGGGGCAAGCGUUAUCCGGAUUUACUGGGUGUAAAGGGGGCGCAGACGGCGAUGCAAGCCAGGAGUGAAAGCCCGGGGCCCAACCCCGGGACUGCUCUUGGAACUGCGUGGCUAGAGUGCAGGAUGGGCAGGCGGAAUUCCUGGUGUAGCGGUGAAAUGCGUAGAUAGCAGGAGGAACACCGGUGGCGAAGGCGGCCUGCUGGACUGCAACUGACGUUGAGGCCCGAAAGCGUGGGGAGCAAACAGGAUUAGAUACCCCAGUAGUC